Molecule: ribosomal RNA, 513 nt
Filed under: Bacillus sp. PSu4_49
Lineage: Bacteria; Bacillati; Bacillota; Bacilli; Caryophanales; Bacillaceae
Description: bacterial SSU rRNA
Rfam family: Bacterial small subunit ribosomal RNA
Source: RNAcentral
AGUCGAGCGAAUGGAUUAAGAGCUUGCUCUUAUGAAGUUAGCGGCGGACGGGUGAGUAACACGUGGGUAACCUGCCCAUAAGACUGGGACCACUCCGGGAAACCGGGGCUAAUACCGGAUAACAUUUUGAACUGCAUGGUUCGAAAUUGAAAGGCGGCUUCGGCUGUCACUUAUGGAUGGACCCGCGUCGCAUUAGCUAGUUGGUGAGGUAACGGCUCACCAAGGCAACGAUGCGUAGCCGACCUGAGAGGGUGAUCGGCCACACUGGGACUGAGACACGGCCCACACUCCUACGGGAGGCAGCAGUAGGGAAUCUUCCGCAAUGGACGAAAGUCUGACGGAGCAACGCCGCGUGAGUGAUGAAGGCUUUCGGGUCGUAAAACUCUGUUGUUAGGGAAGAACAAGUGCUAGUUGAAUAAGCUGGCACCUUGACUGUACCUAACCAGAAAGCCACGGCUAACUACGUGCCAGCAGCCGCGGUAAUACGUAUGUGGCAAGCGUUAUCCGGAAUUA